Molecule: ribosomal RNA, 680 nt
Filed under: uncultured Roseateles sp.
Lineage: Bacteria; Pseudomonadati; Pseudomonadota; Betaproteobacteria; Burkholderiales; Sphaerotilaceae
Description: bacterial SSU rRNA
Rfam family: Bacterial small subunit ribosomal RNA
Source: RNAcentral
AGUGGCGAACGGGUGAGUAAUGUAUCGGAACGUGCCCAGUCGUGGGGGAUAACUGCUCGAAAGAGCAGCUAAUACCGCAUACGACCUGAGGGUGAAAGCGGGGGAUCGCAAGACCUCGCGCGAUUGGAGCGGCCGAUAUCAGAUUAGGUAGUUGGUGAGGUAAAGGCUCACCAAGCCGACGAUCUGUAGCUGGUCUGAGAGGACGACCAGCCACACUGGGACUGAGACACGGCCCAGACUCCUACGGGAGGCAGCAGUGGGGAAUUUUGGACAAUGGGCGCAAGCCUGAUCCAGCCAUGCCGCGUGCAGGAAGAAGGCCUUCGGGUUGUAAACCGCUUUUGUCAGGGAAGAAAAGGUUCUGGCUAAUACCUGGGACUCAUGACGGUACCUGAAGAAUAAGCACCGGCUAACUACGUGCCAGCAGCCGCGGUAAUACGUAGGGUGCAAGCGUUAAUCGGAAUUACUGGGCGUAAAGCGUGCGCAGGCGGUUAUGCAAGACAGAGGUGAAAUCCCCGGGCUCAACCUGGGAACUGCCUUUGUGACUGCAUGGCUAGAGUACGGUAGAGGGGGAUGGAAUUCCGCGUGUAGCAGUGAAAUGCGUAGAUAUGCGGAGGAACACCGAUGGCGAAGGCAAUCCCCUGGACCUGUACUGACGCUCAUGCACGAAAGCGUGGGGAGCA